Molecule: ribosomal RNA, 460 nt
Filed under: uncultured bacterium
Lineage: Bacteria
Description: partial 16S ribosomal RNA
Rfam family: Bacterial small subunit ribosomal RNA
Source: RNAcentral
CCUACGGGAGGCAGCAGUGAGGAAUAUUGGUCAAUGGACGCAAGUCUGAACCAGCCAUGCCGCGUGCAGGAUGACGGCUCUAUGAGUUGUAAACUGCUUUUGUACGAGGAUAAACCGAGACACGUGUAUCUGGUUGCAUGUAGCGUAUGAAUAAGGAUCGGCUAACUCCGUGCCAGCAGCCGCGGUAAUACGGAGGAUCCGAGCGUUAUCCGGAUUGAUUGGGUUUAAAGGGUGCGGAGGUGGGUUGUUAAGUUAGAUGUGAAAUGUCGGGGCUCAACCCCGAAACUGCCUCUAAUACUGGUGGUCUAGAGAAUAGUUGCGGUAGGCGGAAUGUAUGGUGUAGCGGUGAAAUGCUUAGAGAUCAUACAGAACACCGAUUGCGAAGGCAGCUUACCAAACUAUAUCUGACGUUGAGGCACGAAAGCGUGGGUAUCAAACAGGAUUAGAUACCCUUGUAGUC